GACGAACGCUGGCGGCGUGCUUAACACAUGCAAGUCGAACGGAAAGGCGCUGCUUUUGCGGGGUGCUCGAUUGGCGAACGGGGGAGUAACACGUGAGUAUCCUGCCCUUGACUUUGUGAUAACUUCAGGAAACUGCGGCGAUUACCCGAUAGGAGCUCUUGCUGCACGGUGGGGGUUGGAAAGUUUCGGCGGUUGGGGAUAGUCUCGCUGGUUAUGAGCUUGUUUGUGGAGUAGUGGCUUACCAAGGCUUCGACGGGUAGCCGGCCUGGGAGGGGAGACGGCGACAUUGCGCCUGCGGUACGGCGCAGACUCCUACGGUAGGCAGCAGUGGGGAAUAUUGCACAAUGGGGGGACGCCUGAUGCAGCGACGCCGCGUGCGGGAUGCCGGCCUUCGAGUUGUGAACCGCUGUCGAAUGUGACGAAGCGUGCGUGACGGUAAUGGGUAAAGAAGCACCGGCUAACUACGUG
This 468-nucleotide ribosomal RNA is filed under the name uncultured bacterium. RNAcentral's name for it is "partial 16S ribosomal RNA". It matches the Rfam family "Bacterial small subunit ribosomal RNA", at positions 28 to 507 of the family's 1533-position model. The record is from RNAcentral.